UAGUGAACCUGCGGAAGGAUCAUUG
RNAcentral lists this ribosomal RNA (25 nucleotides) under Osmorhiza berteroi. RNAcentral's name for it is "partial 18S ribosomal RNA". Lineage: Eukaryota; Viridiplantae; Streptophyta; Magnoliopsida; Apiales; Apiaceae. The record is from RNAcentral. RNAcentral also lists the same sequence under 2 other names.